GAUGAACGCUGGCGGCGUGCCUAAUACAUGCAAGUCGAGCGAACAGACGAGGAGCUUGCUCCUCUGACGUUAGCGGCGGACGGGUGAGUAACACGUGGAUAACCUACCUAUAAGACUGGGAUAACUUCGGGAAACCGGAGCUAAUACCGGAUAAUAUAUUGAACCGCAUGGUUCAAUAGUGAAAGACGGUUUUGCUGUCACUUAUAGAUGGAUCCGCGCCGCAUUAGCUAGUUGGUAAGGUAACGGCUUACCAAGGCAACGAUGCGUAGCCGACCUGAGAGGGUGAUCGGCCACACUGGAACUGAGACACGGUCCAGACUCCUACGGGAGGCAGCAGUAGGGAAUCUUACGCAAAGGGCGAAAGCCUGACGGAGCAAAGCCGCGUGAGUGAUGAAGGUCUUCGGAUCGUAAAACUCUGUUAUUAGGGAAGAACAAAUGUGUAAGUAACUAUGAACGUCUUGACGGUACCUAAUCAGAAAGCCACGGCUAACUACGUG
Molecule: ribosomal RNA, 497 nt
Filed under: uncultured bacterium
Lineage: Bacteria
Description: partial 16S ribosomal RNA
Rfam family: Bacterial small subunit ribosomal RNA
Source: RNAcentral